GUUGAACGCUGGCGGCAUGCCUUACACAUGCAAGUCGAACGGCAACAGGUCUUCGGAUGCUGACGAGUGGCGAACGGGUGAGUAAUACAUCGGAACGUGCCCGAUCGUGGGGGAUAACGGAGCGAAAGCUUUGCUAAUACCGCAUACGAUCUACGGAUGAAAGCAGGGGACCGCAAGGCCUUGCGCGGACGGAGCGGCCGAUGGCAGAUUAGGUAGUUGGUGGGAUAAAAGCUUACCAAGCCGACGAUCUGUAGCUGGUCUGAGAGGACGACCAGCCACACUGGGACUGAGACACGGCCCAGACUCCUACGGGAGGCAGCAGUGGGGAAUUUUGGACAAUGGGCGAAAGCCUGAUCCAGCCAUGCCGCGUGCAGGAUGAAGGCCUUCGGGUUGUAAACUGCUUUUGUACGGAACGAAAAGACUCUUUCUAAUAAAGAGGGUCCAUGACGGUACCGGAAGAAUAAGCACCGGCUAACUACGUG
RNAcentral lists this ribosomal RNA (482 nucleotides) under uncultured bacterium. Its description in RNAcentral is "partial 16S ribosomal RNA". It matches the Rfam family "Bacterial small subunit ribosomal RNA", at positions 28 to 507 of the family's 1533-position model. The record is from RNAcentral.